This 108-nucleotide small nuclear RNA is filed under the name Leptobrachium leishanense (Leishan spiny toad). Lineage: Eukaryota; Metazoa; Chordata; Amphibia; Anura; Megophryidae. The record is from RNAcentral.
GUGCUAGCCUUGGCAGCACAUAUACUAAAAUUGAAACAAUACAGAUUAGAUUAGCAUGGCCCCUGUGCAAGGAUGACACGCUACAAUCACGAAGCGAACUAAAUUUUA